UACGUAGGGACCAAGCGUUGUCCGGAAUCAUUGGGCGUAAAGCGCGCGUAGGCGGCCCGGUAAGUCCGUUGUAAAAGUCGAAGGCUCAACCUUCGAAAGCCGAUGGAUACUGCCGGGCUAGAGUACGGAAGAGGCGAGUAGAAUUCCUGGUGUAGCGGUAGAAUGCGCAGAUAUCAGGAGGAAUACCCAUAGCGAAGGCAGCUCGCUGGGACGUUACUGACGCUGAGACGCGAAAGCGUGGGGAGCGAACAGG
RNAcentral lists this ribosomal RNA (253 nucleotides) under uncultured bacterium. Its description in RNAcentral is "partial 16S ribosomal RNA". It matches the Rfam family "Bacterial small subunit ribosomal RNA", at positions 524 to 776 of the family's 1533-position model. The record is from RNAcentral.